AGCACACAUAAAAUUUCCAUCCUUUACAAUUAAAUUGUUCAUUUUUUAAAAAAAUAAAACCAGAAUCACUUCAACUUUGUGAUCUUUUUUCCCAACAAAACUGGAAAUACUUUGUUAUACCACCAGGUAUUUCUUAAAAAAAAUCAAUGAGGUGGCAAAGAAAAUAUUAAGAAUUGUAAUACUGUCCCAUUCUCCUUUCUUUUGUCCCAACUCACUCUUUUGGCUACAAAACUGUCAGCCACAGCAUGAAGUCUGCUAAAAAUGAGUUCAGCUCAGCAUCUUGUCAGAUGUAGACCAUGUUUUGUAUUCUCUGAUUUUCUAAAGAGAACAAACAAACCCAGAGCGUAGGAAGGUACUUAGAUGGCUUCUAGGGAAGCUGUCAUUUCCACUGUAGCUUUGUUCUUUACUGCAGAGACAGGCUGAUACUAAAAACUGCUUAAAGAAAAGAGAAAAAUAAAAUAGCAUUAAAGCAGGUUAAUAAAUGUUAAGUAGAGAUAGAUACUGGAACAGGAAGCACAUUUGGUCAUGGGUGCUGAUACAGAAAGAGAAGACAAUAUUUAAAUAUUUCAAUGAAUCCUUGGAGCUAAGAAGACAGCAGUGUUAACCGGACAAUAUAUACAAAUAUUUCAUUACUGAGAAUUAUAGUUCACAAUGUUUAUCACUCUAAAGUUUUCCAAUAUUUGUCUAAAAUUUAUUGCUGUGAGAUAAUGGAGACGGAGACACAGAAAAGAGAUGUGAAAAGAGAUGUGUGUGAGUCUCUCAUUUACUAUGUGAAGGGGAAGACAUUUUUAAAUGCUGAAAAUUUUAUAGGAAUCUACUUUCUACAAAAUGCUGAACUGUAACCUGUGAAGUUAUUUCUGUACAUCACUACUUUUUUCUGUUUAUAGUACUAUCUCUCCUCAUUGUUGGAUGAAAUUCUUUGAACAUCUCCUAACACUAAGUGGUUCCCAAUUUUGGAUCAUUAUUUG
RNAcentral lists this long non-coding RNA (968 nucleotides) under Marmota monax (woodchuck). The record is from RNAcentral. Lineage: Eukaryota; Metazoa; Chordata; Mammalia; Rodentia; Sciuridae.